Molecule: transfer RNA, 69 nt
Filed under: Canis lupus familiaris (dog)
Lineage: Eukaryota; Metazoa; Chordata; Mammalia; Carnivora; Canidae
Also listed under: 1 other name
Rfam family: tRNA
About the family: Transfer RNA (tRNA) molecules are approximately 80 nucleotides in length. Their secondary structure includes four short double-helical elements and three loops (D, anti-codon, and T loops).
Source: Rfam by way of RNAcentral
GCCUAACUGGCUCAGUAGAGCAUGAGACUCUUGAUCUCAGGGCUAUAAAUUCAAGCCCCAUGUUGGGUG